Vigna radiata var. radiata (mung bean) is the source of this 1509-nucleotide long non-coding RNA. RefSeq lists it as uncharacterized. The transcript is spliced from 4 exons. Lineage: Eukaryota; Viridiplantae; Streptophyta; Magnoliopsida; Fabales; Fabaceae. The record is from RefSeq and is a predicted model, not a curated record.
UCGUCUCUUUCUUUGAGUCGAUGUAGUUCUUUUCUGUUGUUUUAUAUUAUGAGGAAUCUUAAUCCUGCUGCCCUGAUUUCAUUAUUGGUUGGUAAAUAAGUUAAAAUUACCAUGUGAAAUGUAUUGCCCCCACUUUGCAUUUUCUUUUACCCUUGGUUUAUUAUUCAAUGAAACUUUUGUUUGGUUUGGAUGUUAUUCACAUUGUUGUUGUUAUUAUAUUGUUUUUAAAAUUUUAUAAUCGAAGUAGUUUAUUAAAGACUGUUAAAUUGUUGUAUAUUUGUAUUUAAUUUAAUUCUGUAGUGCACCAUUUCUGUGACAAAUUAAAAUUAAAAUUGUUGGAUCAAGUAUUUCAGAAUUUUGCUUUCUUCCAUAGUCAUGGUGCCUCCUAUAGUUUAGUUUUUCUUUGAGCUAUAAUUCCUUUUAGUUUUGUUAGGAAAAAAGGCUUGCUUGAAUUUUUAGUUUCCCCAAUUGACAUCCUUGCUUGAAUUUUUAGGAUUUGACUAGAUAGUUAGUUGCUAUAUUUCUCUUUGGUCCUUGGAAUUUAAGCCUCCUAAGUUUUACGGAGAGCCACUAAAUUGCCUUANAUAUGUAUAAUAUCCCCUGUGACGCAAGGGUGUAACCCCUUUCUCAUAAGCAUUCUAAAGGCUAGUUUAAGNUGGCCUGACCUCCUCCUUGAUAUUUGAAUGUUACUAUACUGUUCUGAUAGUGGAUCCCUUACUUUGACAAUGAUCUUCAUGUACCAUUGUUUCUGAACUUAUUGAGUUCCAUUUCCUGAUUAGAGGGAAGUGUAUUUGGUCCUGAUAGAAAUCAAGAACCACCGCUAAAUUGAGAAUCUAAGAGAAAACAGAAGAGAAGUUAGUGAGAUAUCUCAUUCUGACUUUUAACAAAAUUAUAAGUUCUUGAGUACAUGCCAACUGGCUGACAGCUAAGCAAACUUUUAUAUAUUAUUCUGUUUCAAGUCCUCUAAGAACAAAUUUUAACUAAACUAUUGUUGACACCCUGGAAGAAGCCGCACAACUAAAAGAUAGAGCAGAUAAUUAUAAGAACUCUGGGUUUGACUUUGAAAGCAAUGAGACAUACUUUCGAGCUGGGUUGAAGUUUUUGCAUGGAGCAUCUAUUUUAGAAAAUUGUGACAAUGACAGUAACAAACUUGGGGAAAUGAGUCAAAUGCAAAUUUAUGGUACUGCGGCCAAACUUUUCAAGUACUAAUGUGAAGAUAGCUUCUGCUCCAUCCAGCGUGGUAAUUCUCUCCCCAAAUAACUUUGAUGAGAUUGUCAUGGAUGAAAUAAAAAGAUGUUCUAGUGGAAUUCUAUGCACCAUGGUGUGGUUACUGCAAGGCCCAUGCCACAGUAAAGAUGUUCUUCGGUCACUCCUAUUAUAGCUUAUAGUUAUUGUAUCUUAUAAUUCUGAUAUAAUUUCUUUACCUCCAUCUUUUAGUUGUUUUAUCUUUAUAACUGAUAUAAUUUCUUUUAUUAAAAUAUACAAGUGUCCAUAUACCAAAUUGUUUUU